UAUAUUUUUUGACCGUGACUGGAGAGUUUCCAGUACUCUACCAGUCUCAGCUAAGGGAAAGAGAGUCAAGCAGAGGCAUACCCAUUCCAUUCCUAGCUUGGCCAGGGGUUAGCGAGUGGAGGACAAUUUGCUACAAAU
Small nucleolar RNA from Tachyglossus aculeatus (Australian echidna), 138 nucleotides. The record is from RefSeq and is a predicted model, not a curated record. NCBI's taxonomy places the organism in Eukaryota, Metazoa, Chordata, Mammalia, Monotremata, Tachyglossidae.